Molecule: long non-coding RNA, 10879 nt
Filed under: Homo sapiens (human)
Lineage: Eukaryota; Metazoa; Chordata; Mammalia; Primates; Hominidae
Description: HSALNT0364189
Source: RNAcentral
UAAAAUUAAGGAAAAAUAAAGAUACGAUACUGUAUGCAGAUUUAAAUCAUUUUGAGCAAGUCGUAUUUUCUUGCCACCUUGGAAGAGUCAAUUAACAUUUAUUGCUGGCCACAUGGCAGACAAUAUGCUCAAUGCUUCAUGGGCAUUAUCUCAUUUCUGUUUUAAAUUACAAAAUGAAGUCUAUGGAUGUUGAAAAUUUUGAAAGAUAUAGAAAAACACAGGAUAAAAAUUGAGAGGCUCUCGUCUCUUCUGCCUUCCCUUACCUUCUCUCUCACUGCUCUCUUUCCCUACAGCUUACCCUAGUGGUACAUGUAUGGUUGUGUGCCGGAUAUGUAUGUGUGUGUUUGUGGGUAGCUGUGUGUACAUACACACAUAACCAUACAAACAAGACCAUAGCUAUUUAUUGUAUUAAGACUUUUCCCCCCUUUUUAAUAGUGUAAUUUGGAUAUUUUCCUGCCUUCUACCAAAUACAUAAAUAUCAUGUUUCUUAAUACUCUUAAUAGUCUAUUCCAUAGUUUAGACUGUAUUUAACAACUCCCUUAUCAUUAGAUAUUUAGGCUUGUCCAGCUUUUUGCUAUCACAAACAGGGAUCUUGGUGUAUAUGUGAAUGUUGGCAGCAGGUUAGCAGAGCACCAGAAGUGGGACUACUGGUCAAACCUUUGCACAAAAAUCAUACAGCCUCUAAUAGCAUUUCCCAGAGAAGAAAAGGGCCUUGUCUGGAACACAGAUCAAGAACUCUUAACUUUUUCUGAUCCAUGCUUUACAUUGCCACUUGAUAAAUACUACAUGUCAUCUCUAAGUACCACUAAAUCUCCCAUCUGGAGAGAUGGGACACUCUCCUUUAUACCUUUGAUGACUUUACUACCCAUGAUAAAAGCAGGAGAUCCCACCUUCCAGCUGCCCCUUCUUAAACAUCUAACUCUGUGCAAGUCCCAACCCUCAUUUAAUCACUUUGCUACUUCAUUGCAUUCAUCACACCAACUUGCAGUUAUUUGUACAGUUGUUCAUCUUCCAUUAGACUGAGCCCUCUGAGGGCAGGAAAUAUUUUUCAUUCUUCUUGGAACUUCCUUUUCCUAACAUAGUGUCUGAGAUGCUCAAUAAACUUUUUUUUGAGUGAAUAAAAAAUAAAUGAGGGAGUAGAAUACCUAGAUGAAUUCAGUUAUAAAAUGGCUCCAGGUACUGAAAUUGUCCAUUUUCAUUUUUAUGUUUUUGCAAUAAGAAAGAUGAACAUGCAUCUCCCCUAGUGCUACUUUUUUCAAAACUAAAUAUUCUAAUUCCAAGGCUUUAUUUCCGUCAAAUAACUACCACUUCCAAAUUCUUCUGUUAUUUUUAUUGUUCUCCAGGAUCUCUCCAUCUCAAUCAUGUCAUACAUUGGAAACAAUUCUCUGACACUUCAUCUAUAUACAAUCAACACUUUGUUAGGCUCUUGUAGCUGCCUCAUUUUUUGUAACACAAUAGAAUACUUGCCUUAAUAAUAAAUUAUAUUUGCCUUACAGUAUGGCUUAUUAGAUACCCAAAAUGUUUUCUGCCAUGCUUUCGAAAUGUUUUGACUGCAUGACAUUCUAUGGUGUUAAAAUUCCCCAAAAUGAAUGAUUUAUACUGCAUUUGCCUUAAUUGGAAUCUAUCCUGUUUUCAUCUUUCCUACUUUGACAGUCAUCUCAAUGUAAAUCCUGUGUCAGAGGUGCUUAUCUGUCUCUUUGCUACUUUUCUUUGAAAACUAAACAUAAACACAAGAAAUUUCACAUAGUAAAACUAGUAAGAUCUGGGUUUAUAAAUAUAAAUGGUGCAUCUGUGGCGGCAGAGCUCUGUCUCCAACUUCUUGGAGAUAAACAAGUUCAUAGUUAGAAAUGCUCUAGAAGUAAACAGGAAACCUGCUACACAAAUUGUGAAAUAUAAGUAUGUUUUAUAGAAGUCCUGAAAUUGUAUUUUUCAACAAGUUAAAACAGAAAAACCUAACACUACCAUAUCCAUUAAAUAUUAAUUCUCUCUUCCUCAAAUGUUUUACUCAUAUCUAUGCCUGUCCCUUUGGAACAUUUUUCAGUCAAAUUCAUAACACUGUCUUGAUUCCAAGCCUCAGGAGAACAUUUGAAUGAAAUUUUCAAAUGCUUCAAUUUUUAUAUCAUCCAAUGUGGAAUUCACAUUUACUGAGCACCUGCAAUGAGCUAGGAUCUGUACUACAUACUUUUAAAAAUACAUUAUUUUUCCUAAGAAAGUUCUGAGGUAGAUAUAUUAUUUUACAGAUGAGGAAACAGAGGUUCAGAGAGGUUAACUGACUUCACAAAAGUCAUAGAGCUACUAGGUAACAGAGCUCAUUGAACAUGGAGCUAGGAUUCAACCCUGGAUCGCCGUGAAGCCAUUUUGUUUCCAUGACAUCAUGACAUUGGUUAUAACACCACAAUUGUUUAGAAUAUAAGGCUUGUUUAGAAUGCAAGGCUUCCUCAAUUCUCCACCCUUCCCCUCUUGACAUCUUGCUCUUCUUCCCUUCAUCUAUUGUGUUAGUCAGGUGCAUGCUGGUCUUCCCUCUAUCAAACUACAGGACUUUCAUAGUUUUGAACAAGUCAGAACCUGAAAGAAUUUGCUUCCAGAACAGGACAUUGACAGGAAAAUUAAGCAUGAUCAUGCCGAGUAAAAUAGGAAUAAGAAUUGGACCUACCUCAAGAUCUGUUGAGAAGAUUAUGAGAGAGCUGAUGGAUCUAAAAGAUUGGCGCUUGAUAGAAUUGGGAUCAUUUGUUUUGACUAGAACAAUCUCUUGCAGCUUGGAUGGAGAAACUUUACAGAGGUUUCAGCCAAACACUCAUGAAUUCUUUAAUGUGUGAAAUAAAGUAAGUUUUAUAGGCAAAUAACAAUCUGAAUCCCUAACUAGCUAUUUCAUAUAAUAUGCAUAUAACUCUGAAAAUUACAUACAUCAAAUUUCAAUUUGGCUUCAUGCAUGCUUUGUUUUAUAGAUUCAUAAAGGCAGAUUUUCUCUGAUUAUCAGACUUAUUGCAAAAUGGAGUCAACACAGAAACUUCCUGAAGUUGGCAAAGCUUGUUUUCUUUGGCUGACAGGAGUAACUGAUGUAUUAUUAUUUUUUAAGGCUCUGAGAUAAAUCUGAUUCAUGUUUGAAUCAUAAGUUUAUUAUUGAUUUUUAGUGUGGAUUUUGCAUAAGAUACUCAAUUUAGAGAAUACUCAGCUUUCUCAUAUGCAGAAUAGAAAAAAAGUAGUUACCUGAUCAGAUUUUUUGAAAGGUAAAUGCAACAGCAGUUGUAAAUGGCAUAGUCCAUUGUUAGGAAUAGACUAGGUGUUCAAUAAAUGAAUAAAAAAAAACCGUGAAGCUCUCCUGAAGCUUUAUAUUCCCUGUCUAUAAAAUGGAGACAUCACUGAUUUCCUGCUUACAUUACAAGACUGCUGUGAAGAUCAAAUGAAGAAACAGAUAAAAAUGUUUGGUAAACUGAAUUGUACAGUAUAAAUAGAAAGCGGUGACAAAAGUAAUUCAUACCAAUGCAGUUUUUUAAAAAUAUCCCAACCUGCCUACACAACUACUUCCUCUCUCUGAGAUUUAUCUCAAAAGUGGAAUUAGAUUCCUGUCUUAGCUGUAAAAAUAAAGCCACAAAGGGCAUCAUGCAUGAGAGAGUAAAUGUGAAACUCUGUGGGGGAAAAUGGAAACUUCAGAUAUUAUUAGGGCCUAGCUGCCAAUGGUGAUUCUCUCAAGAUUUUAUUGGCAGGUUGAGUGAAAGUGCCAGAGUGUGGAUGCACAAAUUGUAGUUUAAUUGGUGUGAUUUAUAGCUAAUGGUGCAUCAGAAGGAGGAACUAGGAACUGUGCCUUCUAAUUUAAGGCAUAGUACCUAAGACUGCAUCCACUAGGUAAGAAAACCUUCCUUGGCAAACUCAAAUAUUAAAUCUUCGCUGAAUUUGUCUUGUUCUUUUAUAUAAAAAUCAUGGAGCCAGGAGCUAAAAUAAUAUCUAAGUUUCCUCUUUGCCUGACGCCAUCCAUGCAAAAUGUGACUUGCUUCUUCAGCAGCAGCAUGAAAACAAACUAAUACACCACUAUUCCUAGGUAAGUAGAGCCACAAUGGGAAGACCACUAAGGGAAUAUGGAGGCUCACAGAGGCUAGUCAAUUUAUCCAAGGCCACGCAGCAAAGCUGGGACUCAAACUCAAAUCUUCUAGUCCUAGUUUCAUUCAGUUUUUUUUUUUUCCUACAUUGAUUCUAGACUUUGUUCUACAAGUGACUACUUUUCUGUUUUGUUCCUGACAUGAACAUGUCCAUGGCUGUCUCAGACUUGUUUGGUUACCCUAAGUAACCAUUUAGCAGCCAAUUUCUGAUAUGACUAUAGAUACAUCUCUAUAAGUGAAUUCUAUAGGUGAUUUGGCAUGAUCAAAAUGAAAAGGCUUUGUUUGAGUUCCCCAAUAUACUGCUCAAAUGAAAGCUUCUCAAAAUAUCAUUUUGAGAUACGACAGGUCUUUCCUUCAAAUACAACAGAUACUUUUCUUUUGCAGCACUCAGCAUACAUACAACUAUUUAUUUAUCUGUAAGUACUUGCUUAGUAUCUGUGAAGAACAUUGCAGGUACCUGACAUAUGUCUAACUGAUGGAGUGAGGCUGCUAAUGUGGCCAUCUCUCCCUCUUCCUGAUAAGAAAGUGAACCAGCCAUUUCAAAAUGUGGAGAAUUCGAUAAAUAUGUUCUACUCCUCUAUAGCCCUCCCACUAAAAUAAUUUUCAAUUUUCAAUUGAGGUGAAAGGAAGAAUCGGCAAAGAGACGGAUUGAGAGAAUUGUUUAUACUCAUAACUUCGUUCUCAACAUAAUUAUCUAUUUCUGAAUCCUAAAAAUCACCUAGCUAGAUUCUCCCUCAAUCUGAAGAUUACCUUUUACUCCUUGAGAUGCUAAAUGUGUUCCUAUUUAUCAUAUUAAUAUUGCGAGUAUUUUGUGUUAUGCAGCCAGAAAAAUCACAUAAUGGGAACUUACCCACAGCCCCCAAACUCAUAAACAGGAGCUGAAUAGAAAUUCCUCAGUGCAAUUUAUGGUAACAAUUUCAUGCUCAGUUUAGUUACUUCCAUGACUCAGAAAAGAAAUUUCUUUUGCUUAUUUCAGUAAUUUUUUUCUAAAAAAUUGUUCCCCUAAUUUUUGGCAAAGGAUCUAUGAGAAAGUGAAGAACUCCCUGGUUGUACAUGGAUUUGGAAUUGUCACUUAAGUGAGGCCAAAAUGUAACCCUAUGCCAUUCAUUGCAUAGUACCAUUUGUUAUAAAUUUGACCUCUAAAACAAAGAUAUUACAAAGCCAUUGAGUGUUUUUUUAAGGGAUAUAUUAUAUUUGUCACUUAGUCCCCAGUAUUAUGAUGGAAAACCUGGAUAGUGGAUAGAAAACCUGGAGGUCAUUUAGGCAUCUCUUUCACUGGUUGGGUGAGAAAUGGUGAAGAAGAUGGGAAUGGAGAAGGGACAUACAUUUGGUAAGUGUAAAUAAGAGUCUUUGCUGAUUAAUUCAGUGUGGCCCAUGAGAAAGAGUGGAAGUGUCCAAGGUUCCCUCAGGUUUACAGCUUGGGCAACUGACUGAGAACAGAAAGGAGCUGCCAUUGAGAGGAAGAAAAGAAAAUGACACUGAGUCCAUGUUGGGACACAUUGGGUUUAAAGGGAUAUCAUUAUGACCUAAGCUCUCUGAAUUCCAGUGACUGGGAAUAUGGGAAGAUACAUCUUUAACAGUUGAAGCAAUUUAUACACUUUAACAAUUGAAGCAAUUUAUACACCAGAGCCUAAGGAAUAUUUAUAGAUGAGGGCUGUGCUGCAAUGACAGAUAGGGUUGUAUGAAACAUACACUAAUCUGACCAUUCUAUCCUCCAGACUCAGGGAAGGAAAUAAUAAAAGUAAGUAACCAUAAAAAAUAGACUUUUAUGCAUAAAUAAAUAAAAAUCAGCUAGGAGACAGUUCAUCCCUGUAUAAGUAAAACAGGCAAAUUUAUCUUUCCUCUGAUUAAUAAUUUAAGAAAAAAUCCCAAGCAAGCUGCCUAUGGAGGUGUAGGAGUAGCUCCUAUAAUUAGACUCCAAUUUGAACCAUGAGGGUGAGGAUCAGAAAGCUGACUCAGAGCCUGGUGUCAAUUAUUUGCAGUUUGUACAACGAAAGGCUAAAAAUUUGGGAGAUGCAGGAUGACUGAAGCCCGAUUCUGGGGGUUGUUACAGCACAGUUACAGGGUAAGUUUUUUCCAUUGUUAUUUGCUGGAAAAUUUAUUCUCCAUCUCCUUUAGUCUGUGCCUGAAUUUUGUGGGACUUGCUCGAGAAUGGUAUUCAUGCUUUAAAUCCAAGAGCCAGGAAUCAUCGCAUUUCAACAAUUUUCCUAUUUAUUUUAACCAAAACAGAGCUGGUUUCUAUAACUCAAUUUAAGAAAUUAUCCUCUUUGAUACAAUCUACUUAUGUUUGAUUGAUUUUAGAAUAAACUAACAGAUACACAAGAGCUUAUCAAGCUAGCUCGGUUCAGUGGAGAACUAUAGCAGAAACAGCAGGUUUCUAUUUGGCACAUUUUGGAUUUAUCUGGACGCAAGAGGAUGUGAAAAGAACACCUUUCAGACAAAAGCCAGUCUUGAGUAGGAAUUUAGUGUUCCUUGCCCAAACAGCUUAGUUUGUUUCCCAUUUUGAGUCACUAUCUGAAUCCUUUUUUAUCUCCUAUAUAGAACAAAUUCUCUCCCUCUAUUUAAUAGGCUUUCAGAUAUGAAACAGAGAGAGAGAGAGAGAGAGGAAGGAAGGAAGGGAGGGAGGGAAAGAGAAAGGGAAAGAAGGAAGGAAAAGCUCUAAUUUCUUCUGUUCUUUUGGUAACACACCUCCCCUUCACAUCCUUCAGCUGCUCCCCUUAGGGCUUUUUGUAGACACUUUUGGUGGUCUCUCCUCUCACACACUGCUCACCACUGUACUUUAUUUUGUAUCAUCUGUCUCCAUCCUUUCCCAACUCCUGAGCACUCAGCCUCCUCUGGAUCUUUUCUGGUUCCUUCGCUCCUAGAACUGUGUCUGAUGGCUUAUGAAGGCAAAUGACAAAUGUUUGCCAUAUGCACAUGUAUGUGCAUGAAUGAAUACAUCCAGGUUCUGACUUCCUCGGGGCAACCUCUACUUUCUCAAUGCCCCUCUUAAGAUGGGGGUGGGGGAGGGUCCUCCUAGAACUGAACAUGAUAUUCCAGGUGUGAUCUAAUACAUUUAAAUGUCCAAAAGCUCUUUCUUCCCUAAACGUUCCUUUUUAAAAGCUACUGUUCUCAAUUAAUGGGUGUCUCAUCUUCUUAAGUAUAUUAAUAAGAGGUAUUUUGAUGUUUCCCUCCAUUCUGUGGAUUACCUCUUGAUUCUCUGGAUUCUUUGUGAUUCCGUUUUGUUUUAAGGAUGUUCUCAGGUGUCUGGUGAUCCUUGCUUAUAAGUCCAAAUUAAUGAUGAGGCACUAAAAUGCUGAUUGGAAGCUCUCUGUGCAGGCAGGUAUUGUUGAAUAGUGGUAAACAGGGGACAUGUUCAUUUUGGAGACACUCAAAUAUCAGGACCUAUAAAUCUCUAUGCCAAGUCAGUUUCCCCAGAGUCUCUUAAUAUCAUUUCUUUCAGGUUAAAAGCCUGGUUACCAGGUUCUGGGAGUGAAGGGAGGAGUGGGGCUUAGACAAGGGUGGGGGCGGGGGUAUGUCUCACAAUUCACUAAAUACCUUCUUUUAUAUAUGUGUUCUCUGUGCAGCAUUUUACCCCCACCAUCGUCCAUGUCUGAUGCCUCAGGUUCAAUCUUGUUCAGUCUUUCCAAAGAGGAAACAUUGGUUGGGUGGGAAUGAUUGGCAGGUCGAAGAGAGAAUUUGAAGCUAUAGCUGCUCCUUUUAAAACUUCUAACUCAUCUUUGUUUUUUCAGGCCUUCCUCACACCCAUGUCUUCAGAUACCCAAGGCCUUUAAUACCCAAGUCCUUCCAGGAUUCUGCACAUCUCAUUAGCUUCAUAUUCCCGUAAGUACUUGGGUUUCUGCUUUCUCAGCUCUGAUGUGUCAUUUUCUAAUCAAUCAUCAGCAUUCCAGCUUCCAAAGUUUUGUUCAUAUAUCUUACAUGUGUUGUCUUGACCGACUUCUUUUUGGACCUUAGAUUAUUUACCUAUUUAAAUUCCUUAAUUGUUACUUUAGUGGAGUUUUGGAAGGGAACAAAAAUAUAGGCAGGUGUUUAUCACAUUUAACAAGGAACUCAAAAUUUAUAUUUAAUUCUAUUUAAUCUGGCUGCCUUCUUGCCAUCAGUCUAUUUGAAAAGUUCAUAUGGACCCAGCUCUGUCAUCAUCACAUGUUCUAUAUCCCCAAACCUUGUGACAUCUGCAAAGAAGUACAGAAGACCUCAAGAGAAGAUAAGCUAGAAUUUAUUUAUUUUUAUACCUUUUAUUCAGUUUUUAUUAAAGCUUUCCUACCUUUCCAGAUUGACACAGAAUUAUUCCAUGAAUCUGUCUAUUAAUCCAUUUACAGCAAGUGCUGGGGAUAGAAAUUAAGGUUUAAACAUAUAAUUCCUGCCAUCAAAGGACUCCCUGUUGAUUAGGGGACACAGGCAAGAAAAUAGACAGUAAGUUUGUUAAGGCAUGAACAAAGAACUGUGUUGGUACACACAGUACAGAGAGGAAGUACAAAGAGGAUGGUGCUUAAGAAGAGUUAACACCUAGACCUAAUCUUAGAGGAUGAGGAAGCAUUGGGUAGACUAGAAGACUAGGUGUAGGGGUAAAGGAAGGCAUAUCAGAGAAAAGGGAGCAGCUACAUAGAGGCAAGGACUAUGCCUCUUCUGCCUCUGAAGAGGAGAAAUUUCUUUCAAUCAAUAGAAAGUGCAGGACAAAGGGUACUAAGUCAUCUUUUGAUGGGAUAACUUGAUGUUAGUGUCCUUCCAUGAGAAAAUGGGAAGCAGCCCCUUAUAAUAAAACCUCUGGCUUUUGAAUUACCAAGUAAAACUGAGGUGUCAGCAACCCUUGGCUGAAUGUGGAACUUGCUAAUAGAACCCCUACAUUCAUGGGAAGGGAUAAAAGAGCUUUAAAAAGUACAAAAGCAUUGUGUGAAUAUAUGGGAUUAAUAUUACUACUACAAUAUUGCCUACCACCACCAUCCCCAGCCCUGAGGAGUCUUCUUAAACUUACAAAAUGAAGCUGCUUCUCUAUGGAUGUAGACAUUUCCUGGUUUCAACAUUGCACCAUAGCUAUGCAUUAUGUCAACAUUGGGAAAAGGCAGGGUGGAAGGUGCACAGGAGCUCUCUGUACAUUUCUUUGAAACUUCCUUUAUACCUUUUAAAAGUUAAAAAGCAGCAGCAGUGGCAGCUUCUCAAGGCCAAAGAUGGGGAGCUCUAUUUCAUUUGCAUUUCUACUCAGGGCUAUAAUGAAUUGAACUCAAUGUGUUGCUAAAGAUUAUUAUGAAAUUAAAAUCCAAUUAGGAUGGUCUCGUGGGUCUGGUAAAAGCUUGGAUUAGAGACCAGGCACAACACGGGGUUGGGGGAGAUGGACUGCUCAAUAGAAGUAGGGCUGAGUGGGGAGUUUAAAGCACUGGCCUCUAAGUAUAGGAACCACUGUACAAAUUUUAAAAUAUACUCAGGAUAGUUAAUAUUUGAUCAAAAUCCACUGUGAAGUGAGGAAUUUUUCCUGCUGGGCAUUCUAUUUUCCAGUUCUAUGAUCAAGCCCAGUGACUGGUAAAUACAAUAUGCCCCACUAGCCCCCAGCUUCUCCCAGCUCCUGUUCCCUCCUGGUGCUCAAAGGGAGAAAGGCUAAGAAAUUCCAAGCCCUGGUCAGGAAAGUGAUCUUGAAAUCACACACAAUGAAUAGUGCCAUCACUAAUGACUCAGCUUGUAAAGAACCAGUGAAGUGAGGAAAUUCUUUCUAUGCACAGAAUGUCUAGAUAUUUAGGCAAAAUUGAAGGGGAUGAGGCAGGAAUAACCAGGACAAACUCAGUAAGAACUUCAACCCUGGUUUUCUCAAGAUUCAGUUUAUGUGCUGAUCAUUUUCUCUCAUAUCUAAUUCCCUUACUUCCCCUGCUCUGUUUUACAUCGAAAGUGCUGACUUCAUGCAAAUUACAUGCAAUUUGCAUGUAAUUUGGAAUUUGCUCCCUGGGAAAAUCACUUCUGACUAGGUUCAGCCAAUGGGAGGCACUAACAGGAGAUUGGAGGGUAGGAGGAAGGGAGGCAUAAGGGAAUUUCUUUCCCCUCUCUGUUUCAGGUGGCAUUUCAAGAAUGUCUGUUUUUCCUCCAUGAUUUCUAUAGAUAUUCCUUAAUUUUCAAGUCUCCAUUAGCAUAGGUAUGAAGGUUUCUCAAUGUGCUCUUGCUUUGGCUUCCUUUAGUCAGAAUAGAAAGAGAAAGUUUUUUAACUUUAUUCAAACAUAUUAGGGGUUUGCUAGAGAAUACAUUAUUUGCCCCUAGUUAUCCUGAUGUUAUAAAAGGAGGCAGACCUGGACAAGUGUAAAUUAGCACAGACAUUCUAACAAUCACCAGAAAAAUGCACCCAUAAGUAGUGCCAAUGCAAGAAGUUUUGACUGUAAUGCCCGUGUGCAGUAGGCUGAAUGAUGGCCCCCAAGUAUAUCUAUAUCCUAAUCCCGAGAACUUGUGAAUGUUACUUGCUAUGCUGAAAGGGACUUUGAAGGUGUGAUUAAGGGUUUUGAGAUGGGGAGAUUUUCCUGGAUUAUAUGAAUGUGUCCUAAAUAUAAUCACACAGGUCCAUGUAAGAGGUAGGCAAGGUCAAAGGAGGAAAUAGAAGGUAAGAUAAUGAAAACAAGAGGUUGGAGGGCUGUGAGGAAGGGGGUCACAAGCCAAGAAGCAUAGGUGGCCUAGAGAAGCUAGAAAACACAAAGAAAUGGAUUUCUUAUAGAGUCUUCACGGGGGACUAGCCUUGCUCACACCUUGACUUUAGCCUAGUGAAACUGAUUUCAGACUUCUGGCCUCCAAAACUGUAAGAGAAUAGAACUGUGCUG